ACUCCUACGGGAGGCAGCAGUGGGGAAUAUUGCGCAAUGGGCGAAAGCCUGACGCAGCGACGCCGCGUGGGGGAUGACGGCCUUCGGGUUGUAAACCUCUUUCAGCAGGGACGAAGUUGACGUGUACCUGCAGAAGAAGCGCCGGCUAACUACGUGCCAGCAGCCGCGGUAAUACGUAGGGCGCAAGCGUUGUCCGGAAUUAUUGGGCGUAAAGAGCUCGUAGGUGGCUUGUCACGUCGGGUGUGAAAGCUUGGGGCUUAACUCCAGGUCUGCAUUCGAUACGGGCUGGCUAGAGGUAGGUAGGGGAGAACGGAAUUCCUGGUGUAGCGGUGAAAUGCGCAGAUAUCAGGAGGAACACCGGUGGCGAAGGCGGUUCUCUGGGCCUUACCUGACGCUGAGGAGCGAAAGCGUGGGGAGCGAACAGGAUUAGAUACCCUGGUAG
This 442-nucleotide ribosomal RNA is filed under the name uncultured Actinomycetes bacterium. RNAcentral's name for it is "bacterial SSU rRNA". It matches the Rfam family "Bacterial small subunit ribosomal RNA", at positions 335 to 793 of the family's 1533-position model. Lineage: Bacteria; Bacillati; Actinomycetota; Actinomycetes. The record is from RNAcentral.